GAUGAACGCUGGCGGCGUGCCUAAUACAUGCAAGUCGAGCGAACGGACGAGAGGCUUGCUUCUCUGAUGUUAGCGGCGGACGGGUGAGUAACACGUGGAUAACCUACCUAUAAGACUGGGAUAACUUCGGGAAACCAGAGCUAAUACCGGAUAAUAUUUUGAACCGCAUGGUUCAAAAGUGAAAGACGGUCUUGCUGUCACUUAUAGAUGGAUCCGCGCUGCAUUAGCUAGUUGGUAAGGUAACGGCUUACCAAGGCAACGAUGCAUAGCCGACCUGAGAGGGUGAUCGGCCACACUGGAACUGAGACACGGUCCAGACUCCUACGGGAGGCAGCAGUAGGGAAUCUUCCGCAAUGGGCGAAAGCCUGACGGAGCAACGCCGCGUGAGUGAUGAAGGUCUUCGGAUCGUAAAACUCCGUUAUUAGGGAAGAACAUAUGUGUAAGUAACUGUGCACAUCUUGACGGUACCUAAUCAGAAAGCCACGGCUAACUACGUG
RNAcentral lists this ribosomal RNA (497 nucleotides) under uncultured bacterium. RNAcentral describes it as "partial 16S ribosomal RNA". It matches the Rfam family "Bacterial small subunit ribosomal RNA", at positions 28 to 507 of the family's 1533-position model. The record is from RNAcentral.